This 214-nucleotide long non-coding RNA is filed under the name Elaeis guineensis (African oil palm). Its description in RNAcentral is "long non-coding RNA (EGUI_LNC006524)". The record is from RNAcentral. Lineage: Eukaryota; Viridiplantae; Streptophyta; Magnoliopsida; Arecales; Arecaceae.
GCUGUUCUGAUUUUUGCGUAAAUCCAGAUCAAACUCUUUCUGGAGUCUAAUUUUUAGAGAGGAUUAGUCUGGGAUUUAAGGGAAUAAGAAUGGUCUUUGGUUUCAGUGCAUGCUUGAACAGAGGUGAGAAUGUAAAACAAAUUGCAGUAUGUCUUGAUUAUCAGAUUUGAGAUUUGAUCUGGACUUAGCAUAAUUCAAAAGAUGGUGCCGGUCA